This 1454-nucleotide ribosomal RNA is filed under the name Oligodon chinensis (Chinese kukri snake). Its description in RNAcentral is "16S ribosomal RNA". It matches the Rfam family "Bacterial large subunit ribosomal RNA", at positions 459 to 2830 of the family's 2925-position model. The record is from RNAcentral. Lineage: Eukaryota; Metazoa; Chordata; Lepidosauria; Squamata; Colubridae.
GCCAACAAUAACGCACAAUCAUACACCAAUAGAUAAACAAAACAUUUGACUAACUUAGUAGAUGAGAUCGAACAGUAAAUACAACCAGUACCGCAAGGGAAAUAAAUAAGCAAUGAACAGCAAAGAUUAACCCUUGUACCUUUCGCAUCAUGGUCUAGCAAGAAAUCAAAGACAAGAAGAAUCAUAGCCUCCACCCCGAAACCAGAUGAGCUACUUUCAAGCAGCCGAAAGAGCUUACCCUUCUCUGUGGCAAAAGAGUGGGAAGACUUAAAAGUAGAAGUGAAACGCCUAUCGAAUCUGGAGAUAGCUGGCUACCCUAAAUAGAAUAUAAGUUCAACCACAGAACCAACAAGAACACAUUCUCCCCUGUGGAAAAUCAAUAGGGGUUCAGCCCUAUUGAAACAGGAUACAACCUGAAUUUGAGAGGAUAAACCAACCCCCAACCAGUAGACCUUAAAGCAGCCACCUAACAAAAUAUCGUUAAAGAAUUCCUAAACCAAUCCCAACACCAGUUUUAAACUUCAAAUCAACUAAAGGUAGACCCAUAACAAUGGGUACUAUUAUGCUAGAACUAAUAAUAAGACAACCUCUCUUCAUGCACCUUUCCACUAAAACCGGACCAACCAUUAGCCAUUAACAGACCACAUCAGGCAUCAACCAAACAAUACACAACUUAAACCCCACUGUUACCCCAACACAGGCGCAUUAAAAAGAAAGAUUAACUAUUAUAAAAGGAACUCGGCAAACAAAGAUUCCAACUGUUUAACAAAAACAUAACCUUUAGACUAACCAAUAUUAAAGGCAACGCCUGCCCAGUGAACAUUAAACGGCCGCGGUACCCUAACCGUGCAAAGGUAGCAUAAUCACUUGUCUACUAAUUAUAGACCUGUAUGAAAGGCAAAAUGAGAAUCUAACUGUCUCUUAUAAUAAAUCAAUUAAACUGAUCUCCUAGUAAAAAAGCUAGAAUUAAACCAUAAGACCAGAAGACCCUGUGAAGCUUUAACUAAACUAUUAAACCCUAUAAUACCUACUUUCGGUUGGGGCGACCUUGGAAAAAAAAAGAACUUCCAAUACAUGACUACAUCAUACUACACCUCAGGCCUACGAGCCAAUUAACGACCCAGCAAAGCUGAUAAUUGAACCAAGUUACUCCAGGGAUAACAGCGCAAUCCUCUUCAAGAGCCCAUAUCAAAAAGAGGGUUUACGACCUCGAUGUUGGAUCAGGACAUCCUAAUGGUGCAGACGCUAUUAAGGGUUCGUUUGUUCAACGAUCAAUAGUCCUACGUGAUCUGAGUUCAGACCGGAGUAAUCCAGGUCGGUUUCUAUCUAUGACAUGCUCUUAUCCAGUACGAAAGGACCGAUAAAACAAAGCCAAUGCUAAAAGCACGCUCUAACAACUCUUACUACCACAUGACCCCAUUAACCAAGAUAAGGUUAUUAAGGACCCCCCUUAA